GAGGACCGGGACGGACGAACCUCCUGUGCACCGGUUGUGGCGCCAGCCGCACCGCCGGGUAGCAGCGUUCGGACGGGAUAAGCGCUGAAAGCAUCUAAGCGCGAAGCCCACCUCAAGAUGAGGUCUCAUUUUAGGGUCGUGUUAGACGAACACGUUGAUAGGGCGCAGGUGCAAGCGUGGCGACACGUUCAGCCGAGCGCUACUAAUAGCCCGAACACUUCACGAG
This 226-nucleotide ribosomal RNA is filed under the name Bacteroidales bacterium. RNAcentral describes it as "partial 23S ribosomal RNA". It matches the Rfam family "Bacterial large subunit ribosomal RNA", at positions 2687 to 2925 of the family's 2925-position model. The record is from RNAcentral. Lineage: Bacteria; Pseudomonadati; Bacteroidota; Bacteroidia; Bacteroidales.